ACUCAAAUGAAUUGACGGGGACCCGCACAAGCAGUGGAGUGCCUGGUUUAAUUCGAUGACCAACGAAGAACCUCACCUAGGCUUGAACUAUGGCUGCAAAUCCUAUGAAAAUAGGACUCUUUCGAAGGUGCCACAGAGGUGAUGCAUGGCUGUCGUCAGCUCGUGUCGUGAGAUGUCGGGUUAAGUCCCACAACGAGCGCAACCCCUGUCCGAUGUUAAAAUUACUUCGGAUACUGCCCUGCCAAAACGGGGAGGAAGGAGGGGAUGACGUCCAGUCAUCAUGUCCCUUAUGUCUAGGGCUACACAGACACUACAAUGGCUACUACAAUGGGUUGCCAAGCGGCGACGCGGAGCUAAUCCCAUCAAAAGUAGUCUCAGUUCAGAUUGCAGGCUGCAACUCGCCUGUAUGAAGUCGGAAUUGCUAGUAAUCGGACAUCAGCAUGGUCCGGUGAAUACGUUCUCGGGUCUUGUACACACCGCCCGU
Molecule: ribosomal RNA, 484 nt
Filed under: uncultured bacterium
Lineage: Bacteria
Description: partial 16S ribosomal RNA
Rfam family: Bacterial small subunit ribosomal RNA
Source: RNAcentral